UGACCAGGUCGCGAAAUCUGGCCAUGGCC
RNAcentral lists this small RNA (29 nucleotides) under Bombyx mori (domestic silkworm). RNAcentral's name for it is "ovarian small RNA-31529". The record is from RNAcentral. Lineage: Eukaryota; Metazoa; Arthropoda; Insecta; Lepidoptera; Bombycidae.